RNAcentral lists this ribosomal RNA (414 nucleotides) under uncultured bacterium. RNAcentral's name for it is "bacterial SSU rRNA". It matches the Rfam family "Bacterial small subunit ribosomal RNA", at positions 29 to 490 of the family's 1533-position model. The record is from RNAcentral.
AACGAACGCUGGCGGCAGGCCUAACACAUGCAAGUCGAGCGCACCUUCGGGUGAGCGGCGGACGGGUUAGUAACGCGUGGGAACGUGCCCAGAUCUAAGGAAUAGCCACUGGAAACGGUGAGUAAUACCUUAUACGCCCUUCGGGGGAAAGAUUUAUCGGAUUUGGAUCGGCCCGCGUUAGAUUAGAUAGUUGGUGGGGUAACGGCCUACCAAGUCUACGAUCUAUAGCUGGUUUUAGAGGAUGAUCAGCAACACUGGGACUGAGACACGGCCCAGACUCCUACGGGAGGCAGCAGUGAGGAAUAUUGGACAAUGGAGGCAACCCUGAUCCAGCCAUGCCGCGUGAGUGAAGAAGGCCUUAGGGUUGUAAAGCUCUUUCAAUAGCGAAGAUAAUGACGGUAACAACAGAAGAAG